AUACCUUUCUCGGCCUUUUGGCUAAGAUCAAGUGUAGUAUCUGUUCUUAUCAGUUUAAUAUCUGAUAUGUGGGUCAUUGGCUCACACGAUAUUAAAUUACUUUUUUAAAGGGGAGAGGCCAUUACAGUAGCUUGCUACCUGGUCUCUCAUUUGUCGCCUUAGUGUUGUACUAAAGCUUUGGCCAGGCCUACCCUCC
Lupinus albus (white lupine) is the source of this 196-nucleotide non-coding RNA. The record is from the annotation of a GenBank genome assembly. Lineage: Eukaryota; Viridiplantae; Streptophyta; Magnoliopsida; Fabales; Fabaceae.